This 71-nucleotide transfer RNA is filed under the name Bacteroidia bacterium. RNAcentral describes it as "tRNA-Cys". It matches the Rfam family "tRNA". Rfam says of the family: Transfer RNA (tRNA) molecules are approximately 80 nucleotides in length. Their secondary structure includes four short double-helical elements and three loops (D, anti-codon, and T loops). Lineage: Bacteria; Pseudomonadati; Bacteroidota; Bacteroidia. The record is from RNAcentral.
GGUCCUGUGGCCGAGUGGUUAGGCACAGCUCUGCAAAAGCUGCUACUCCAGUUCGAACCUGGACGGGACCU